RNAcentral lists this ribosomal RNA (497 nucleotides) under uncultured bacterium. RNAcentral's name for it is "partial 16S ribosomal RNA". It matches the Rfam family "Bacterial small subunit ribosomal RNA", at positions 28 to 507 of the family's 1533-position model. The record is from RNAcentral.
GAUGAACGCUGGCGGCGUGCCUAAUACAUGCAAGUCGAGCGAACGGACGAGAAGCUUGCUUCUCUGAUGUUAGCGGCGGACGGGUGAGUAACACGUGGAUAACCUACCUAUAAGACUGGGAUAACUUCGGGAAACCGGAGCUAAUACCGGAUAAUAUUUUGAACCGCAUGGUUCAAAAGUGAAAGACGGUCUUGCUGUCACUUAUAGAUGGAUCCGCGCUGCAUUAGCUAGUUGGUAAGGUAACGGCUUACCAAGGCAACGAUGCAUAGCCGACCUGAGAGGGUGAUAGGCCACACUGGAACUGAGACACGGUCAAGACUCCUACGGGAGGCAGCAGUAGGGAAUCUUCCGCAAUGGGCGAAAGCCUGACGGAGCAACGCCGCGUGAGUGAUGAAGGUCUUGGGAUCGUAAAACUCUGUUAUUAGGGAAGAACAUAUGUGUAAGUAACUGUGCACAUCGUGACGGUACCUAAUCAGAAAGCCACGGCUAACUACGUG